CGGUGGAGCAUGUGGUUUAAUUCGAAGCAACGCGAAGAACUUACCAGGCCUUGACAUGCAGAGAACUUUCCAGAGAUGGAUUGGUGCCUUCGGGAACUCUGACACAGGUGCUGCAUGGCUGUCGUCAGCUCGCGUCGUGAGAUGUUGGGUUAAGUCCCGUAACGAGCGCAACCCUUGUCCUUAGUUACCAGCACGUUAUGGUGGGCACUCUAAGGAGACUGCCGGUGACAAACCGGAGGAAGGUGGGGAUGACGUCAAGUCAUCAUGGCCCUUACGGCCUGGGCUACACACGUGCUACAAUGGUCGGUACAAAGGGUUGCCAAGCCGCGAGGUGGAGCUAAUCCCAUAAAACCGAUCGUAGUCCGGAUCGCAGUCUGCAACUCGACUGCGUGAAGUCGGAAUCGCUAGUAAUCGUGAAUCAGAAUGUCACGGUGAAUACGUUCCCGGGCCUU
Molecule: ribosomal RNA, 452 nt
Filed under: uncultured Pseudomonas sp.
Lineage: Bacteria; Pseudomonadati; Pseudomonadota; Gammaproteobacteria; Pseudomonadales; Pseudomonadaceae
Description: bacterial SSU rRNA
Rfam family: Bacterial small subunit ribosomal RNA
Source: RNAcentral